GCCCGUCGCUCCUACCGAUUGGAUGACUCGGUGAAAUCACCGGAUGCUUACGAGCAGAAAGUGAUUAAAUCACGUUAUCUAGAGGAAGGAGAAGUCGUAACAAGGUAACGGUAGGUGAACCUGCCGUUGGAUCAGUUCUAGUUUUAAUAACUAACACCAACUCUU
This 165-nucleotide ribosomal RNA is filed under the name Trichomonas vaginalis G3. RNAcentral's name for it is "5.8S ribosomal RNA". The stretch from base 1 to 137 matches the Rfam family "Eukaryotic small subunit ribosomal RNA", at positions 1671 to 1831 of the family's 1831-position model. Lineage: Eukaryota; Parabasalia; Trichomonadida; Trichomonadidae. The record is from RNAcentral.